Molecule: ribosomal RNA, 171 nt
Filed under: uncultured Gigaspora
Lineage: Eukaryota; Fungi; Glomeromycota; Glomeromycetes; Diversisporales; Gigasporaceae
Description: partial 18S ribosomal RNA
Rfam family: Eukaryotic small subunit ribosomal RNA
Source: RNAcentral
UCUGGUGCCAGCAGCCGCGGUAAUUCCAGCUCCAAUAGCGUAUAUUAAAGUUGUUGCAGUUAAAAAGCUCGUAGUUGAAUUUCGGGGUUCCACCGUUGGUCGGGCAAUUGUCUGUACUGGCGUGAGGAAUUUCUACCUUCUGGGGAACCAUCAUGUCAUAAUUUAGCGUGU